RNAcentral lists this long non-coding RNA (898 nucleotides) under Eutrema salsugineum. RNAcentral describes it as "long non-coding RNA (ESAL_LNC001683)". Lineage: Eukaryota; Viridiplantae; Streptophyta; Magnoliopsida; Brassicales; Brassicaceae. The record is from RNAcentral.
UUCAUUGGAGCGGAAAAGGGAAGCCAUGGUUGAGACUAGAUUCAAGGAAGCCUUGUAUCGUUGAUCAUCUAUGGGCUCCGUAUGAUCUGUACCGUUCAUCAAGACAUUCAUUAGAAGAGUAGAGGCAAAAAGAAAACAAACAUAAAGAAGAUUGGCACAUAUAUAUAUAUAUAUAUAUAUAUAUAUAUAUAUAAUAGGAGAGGAGAGGAUCCAAAGCAAAGCAGGGUUUUUUUUUUUUAGCGAUCAAAGAGAGCGAAAGUUUUCAUUUUGGAAAUCCAAACAAGUGUAGCAAAAAGAAAGAACUAAUUUUUUUUUCUUCAACACACACUCUUAAUGCAAAAAGACGUUGUGCAUUGAGCUCAGUAGUGUUUAUCACAAGAGAUGGUAUCAAUCAUCAUCAUUUUUUUUGUUCUUCUUUUUCUCCCUCUCUUUGAUUCAACCCAUAGAAUAUUCCGCGUGUAAUAUAAUAGGUAGUAUUCCUGCAAAAAUGGCGGAUUAAAUUCAUUAUUUUUUCAAUUAAAAUUUCUACGAUCCGGCACAGAAACUAGCGAAACCCGUCUAAAUUCCCAACUACAGAGAGUGAUCCAAGUCACCAUAGCUACUAAAGCAUUGAUUUUUUUACAGAAGAAACCAUGAGAAUGCAGAAGUUUUUACCAGGAUAAGUAGAUGAACGUCUCGAUUCUGCAGAAUUCUCCGAUCAGCAAAGGGAGCAAUUGUAUAAGAUUCGAUUCGAGCUUAAUUGAAAUCCUGAAGAACAAAAAAAAAUCGAAUUAUUUAUGGCUCAUUUUGUUUCUUCACUGAUAUAAACCUUCUCUUUGCGGUGGCAGCUUUCUUUCAUUUUGUCCUCUUCUGUUCUUCUGUAUACGGAGGAAGUUUAUAAAAUUCAAUUUGGUCUAAC